GAGUUUGAUCAUGGCUCAGGAUGAACGCUAGCGGCAGGCUUAACACAUGCAAGUCGAGGGGUAUAGUUCUUCGGAAUUAGAGACCGGCGCACGGGUGCGUAACGCGUAUGCAAUCUACCUUUCACAGAGGGAUAGCCCAGAGAAAUUUGGAUUAAUACCUCAUAGUAUAACGACUCUGCAUGGAGAUGUUAUUAAAGUCACAACGGUGAAAGAUGAGCAUGCGUCCCAUUAGCUAGUUGGUAAGGUAACGGCUUACCAAGGCUACGAUGGGUAGGGGUCCUGAGAGGGAGAUCCCCCACACUGGUACUGAGACACGGACCAGACUCCUACGGGAGGCAGCAGUGAGGAAUAUUGGACAAUGGGCGCAAGCCUGAUCCAGUCAUGCCGCGUGCAGGAUGACGGUCCUAUGGAUUGUAAACUGCUUUUGCCCAUGA
Molecule: ribosomal RNA, 434 nt
Filed under: uncultured bacterium
Lineage: Bacteria
Description: bacterial SSU rRNA
Rfam family: Bacterial small subunit ribosomal RNA
Source: RNAcentral